AAUCAACGCUGGCGGCGUGCCUCAGACAUGCAAGUCGAACGCGAAAGGUUCCUUCGGGAACCGAGUAGAGUGGCGCACGGGUGAGUAACACGUAGGUAAUUCGCCUUUGGGUGGGGAAUAACAGCCGGAAACGGCUGCUAAUACCGCAUAAUGCAGCGGCCCGACAUCGAGACAGUUGUUAAAGCGGGGGAUCGCAAGACCUCGCGCCUAAAGAGAAGCCUGCGGCAGAUUAGCUAGUUGGUAGGGUAAUGGCCUACCAAGGCGACGAUCUGUAACCGGCCUGAGAGGGCGGUCGGUCACACUGACACUGACAUACGGGUCAGACUCCUACGGGAGGCAGCAGUCGGGAAUUUUGGGCAAUGGGCGAAAGCCUGACCCAGCAACGCCGCGUGAAGGAUGAAAUCCCUCGGGAUGUAAACUUCGCAAGAAUGGGAAGAAUAAGUGUGGGCUAAUACCCUCAUGAUGACGGUACCAUUUGUAAGCUCC
RNAcentral lists this ribosomal RNA (486 nucleotides) under uncultured bacterium. RNAcentral describes it as "bacterial SSU rRNA". It matches the Rfam family "Bacterial small subunit ribosomal RNA", at positions 32 to 494 of the family's 1533-position model. The record is from RNAcentral.